GACGAACGCUGGCGGCGUGCUUAACACAUGCAAGUCGAACGGAAAGGCCCUGCUUUUGUGGGGUGCUCGAGUGGCGAACGGGUGAGUAACACGUGAGUAACCUGCCCUUGACUUUGGGAUAACUUCAGGAAACUGGGGCUAAUACCGGAUAUGAGCUCCUGCUGCAUGGUGGGGGUUGGAAAGUUUCGGCGGUUGGGGAUGGACUCGCGGCUUAUCAGCUUGUUGGUGGGGUAGUGGCUUACCAAGGCUUUGACGGGUAGCCGGCCUGAGAGGGUGACCGGCCACAUUGGGACUGAGAUACGGCCCAGACUCCUACGGGAGGCAGCAGUGGGGAAUAUUGCACAAUGGGCGGAAGCCUGAGGCAGCAACGCCGCGUGCGGGAUGACGGCCUUCGGGUUGUAAGCCGCUUUCGCCUGUGACGAAGCGUGAGUGACGGUAAUGGGUAAAGAAGCACCGGCUAACUACGUG
RNAcentral lists this ribosomal RNA (468 nucleotides) under uncultured bacterium. Its description in RNAcentral is "partial 16S ribosomal RNA". It matches the Rfam family "Bacterial small subunit ribosomal RNA", at positions 28 to 507 of the family's 1533-position model. The record is from RNAcentral.